RNAcentral lists this ribosomal RNA (447 nucleotides) under uncultured bacterium. RNAcentral describes it as "SSU rRNA". It matches the Rfam family "Bacterial small subunit ribosomal RNA", at positions 26 to 518 of the family's 1533-position model. The record is from RNAcentral.
AGAGCGAACGCUGGCGGCAGGCCUAACACAUGCAAGUCGAGCGCCCGUAGCAAUACGGGAGCGGCAGACGGGAUAGUAACACGUGGGAACGCGCCCUUCGGUUCGGAAUAACUCAGGGAAACUUGAGCUAAUACCGAAUACGCCCUUACGGGGAAAGAUUUAUUGCCGAAGGAACGGCCCGCGUCCGAUUAGCUAGUUGGUGAGGUAAUGGCUCACCAAGGCUACGAUCGGUAGCUGGUCUGAGAGGAUGACCAGCAUCACUGGGACUGAGACACGGCCCAGACUCCUACGGUAGGCAGCAGUGGGGAAUAUUGGACAAUGGGCGCAAGCCUGAUCCAGCCAUGCCGCGUGGAUGAUGAAGGCCUUAGGGUUGUAAAGUCCUUUUAACGGGAAGAUAAUGACGGUACCCGUAGAAUAAGCCCCGGCUAACUUCGUGCCAGCAGCCGC